Long non-coding RNA from Cavia porcellus (domestic guinea pig), 2935 nucleotides. RefSeq lists it as uncharacterized. The transcript is spliced from 2 exons. The record is from RefSeq and is a predicted model, not a curated record. Lineage: Eukaryota; Metazoa; Chordata; Mammalia; Rodentia; Caviidae.
CCAAGGUUCGUCACCAGUCUCCAGGUCGAACACCCUGCUUCAGGUUAGGAAAGGGAACUUGGCUCGUUCUUACUUCCUUUUUGGAAGGCCCUCCUAUUCCCAGAAAGCAGAAGCGCAACUCGCUGUCCCACCCAUGCAUGCCCCACAGAUUAGAUCAGCAAUUCGCCUUUCCACACCACGCAACGUUUCUCUUUAGGCGAUGUUUGAAAAUGAGUGGGGCAGUUUUUGGUUGUUCCAAUGAAGUUACUUGUAGUAUUUAGGGACCGAGAGUCCGGGAUCCUGGAGUCUGUUUAUACAACUGGACUUACAGUUUCAUAUAAAACUUUUUUUUUUUUUUUAAUCUUUUUGAGACAGGAUCUCACUGUGCAGUUCAAGCUGGCCUGGAGCUCACUUUGUAGUCCAGGCUGGUCUCGAACUUGCUAGGAUCCUCCUGCCUCAGCCUCCUGGGUACUGGGAUUACAGGCAUGUGCCACCACGCCCAGCAAAACUUUUAUUUUUCAGGAGUUUUUAUUUCUUGAAUAUUUACAGAGUAUUUUCUAUGCCAGGUUAAUUUACAUAAAAAGAGUGAUUUAAAAAUACAAUGACUACUGCUGCCAAGUGCCAUCCAACAGAAAGGCAGGGGUCUUCAAAAGAAGCAGCAGUCCCUUGAACGGUAGUAACCAUGUGUGUGAUAAAUCCCAACUUGUGCAGCGCAGUCAGUCGUUUGUAAGCUCAGGUUUUGAGGGGUGUUUUACAGUGUGCCAUCAACCAUGGAUCCUGAACAACACAUUGCACUGGAGUUGCCAGGAUUGUUUGUGCUACUUCACAUUCUGUCAAAUGAAAACAUUCCCUGGAUCUGGCAUCAUGUAACUUCUGGUUCUUCCCUGAAGCUGAAAGUUUUUUAAUUGAUUCAGGACAAGGAGGCAGCCAGGACACAAAAGAGGACUUCCAGAGCUGCUGCAGAUAGUGGCAAGAAAGGUGGCUUGAGAGCCUCUGGAAAACAAACACACUGAGCCCUCACUGAGGCUAAUCAAGAGAUGGAAGAAGUCUUCAGAACAGUGUCACCCGCUGUUUUAGACGAAGAACAAAGUAAUUGCCAAGUAAAGGAAGGGGGGAGUCCUUUUCUAAAAGCCUCCUCCUCAGAAAUGCCAUAAAUGGCCAAAGAAAGAUCAAACUCUCACACGUGGCGUGGUAACUGGCACUUCUGUCCUGCCCCCACACUCACAGCGGUUCUGCCCUGCCUUUAGAGCACAGAUGUUGGCAGAGCCACACUUGUAACCACACAUUCUCUUAAUGCCACUUCACAGAAGGCAAUGUGACCUGGUGGGACUCUUUUUGCCGCUGACAUGCUAGUCUAAUUUACAUCUUUCCUACAGUGAGGCUUACCAUGUUGCAGCUGUCUAUAAAUAGUCUCUCAGCUACUGAAACAAAACAAAAUUUAAGAUUUAAAAAAACUCACCUUCAUGAUUCGAGUUACUUGUUUGGAUCUAUGAAAAAGAAAAUAGAAAACAUUGUUUUACUUUUAAAAUACUGUAUACUUACAAAUGUCCAAAACUGUUAGCAGUAAAGCUGCCAGCACAAGCCACUGUUCCUAAUCUUGGACACUAGUUUAGAAUUCUCCAUUAGGACCCACCCCUGCCUGCCUCACAGCCAAACCUAGCCCAAGAGCACUGCAGAAGUCCACAGUUCUGUCAUGUCGGGAGAGUGGGGCUGCAGGGCAAGCUCUGUGCCCCCCUGAGGCACUCCAUGCUGCCCAGCGUCCAGCUGGUUGCAGGAAAGCCACCAGACAGCAAUGAGUGCCUGUGCUCAUGUGAACACUGUUGCUGCUCUCUGUUCACUGGAGGGACAUUCCUGGCUCACGGAACAAGCUGGACAGAGACCUCUCGGCAGGUGCUUCUCAUUAUGCUUUCAGAAUAUUCCCUAAAAAUCGCAGAUCCCAGUUUGCAGAAUUUCUGAUACAACUUCAAAGCUAAGGAAAGUUUUAUGUUUGUUUAUUUAGGUUUUAUUUUUUUGGUUUUGAGACAGGGACUCUCAUAUAAUACAGAUGGGCCUCGAGCUUGUGAUCCCCUCCUCAGCCUCCAAGUGCUAGGAUUACAGAUAGGCAUGCACCACCACACCUGGGUAAGAAAAGAAUUUGAAAACUUACCCCAUUUGACUAUCUUGGGUUCACUCAGAGUGAUGUGUGAAACUCUGCAAGAAUAUUCGUCACUGUCAUUGGGUGUAAAGGCAGCAUGCACCAGGAGAUAGAAAGUCCAGUCCUUGCUGAAAGAAAGGUCUGACAUCUCCACAUUGUCUAUCUUCUUCCCAUUCUUCAGCAAUUCGACUUCAAUCUGGGGUGGAUGGAAUCCAGAUACAUAGCAGUUGAUGAAAUUCUGCUUUCCAUUUUCUGCUGGGUGACGGGAAUACACUUGAACCCUUGGGGCAUCUAAGAAACAUAUGGAAAAAACAAUGGAGAAUCGUCAGAGUAUUUUAGUUGGGACUAAUUUGGUCUCCAACCACAUCAGACAAAAACAAUUUGAUCAUCUAUUUCUCUCAAUUUCAUUUCCAUUCGCCAUUUGCAUUCACUUCCAUUCUCAAACUGCCUUCAACUUUACCCAAAUACUACCUCUGUUUUGAGAAAUAAACCAUAAUCUUUUCCACAUCAUUUUCUUAUACAUGUCUUUUGGAUUUUUUUUCCCCUAGGAAAUUUCUGGUAGUAUCUUUGUCUCUGAAGAUUAUAUUGAAGUUUUUUUUUUUUAUUCUGUGCUUUGUUUGUUUGGUCAGUUUUUUGAGAUGAUCUAGUUCAAGCUGGUGUUGAAUUUACCAUGUAAUCCAGGCUGGCCUCAAACUCAUGGGGUUCCCCUGUCUCAGUCUCUCAAGUACUGGGAUUGCAGGCCUAUGUCACUACACCCAGCUGUACUGACGUUUUAAGAACUUUUCAAAAUAAGUAAAUAAAAGAACCUUUAAUGUCUUCUCA